RNAcentral lists this ribosomal RNA (207 nucleotides) under uncultured Micrococcineae bacterium. RNAcentral describes it as "partial 16S ribosomal RNA". It matches the Rfam family "Bacterial small subunit ribosomal RNA", at positions 568 to 774 of the family's 1533-position model. Lineage: Bacteria; Bacillati; Actinomycetota; Actinomycetes; Micrococcales. The record is from RNAcentral.
CUUGUAGGCGGUUUGUCGCGUCUGCUGUGAAAAUCCGGGACUCAACCCCGGACUUGCAGUGGGUACGGGCAGACUAGAGUGUGGUAGGGGAGACUGGAAUUCCUGGUGUAGCGGUGAAAUGCGCAGAUAUCAGGAGGAACACCGAUGGCGAAGGCAGGUCUCUGGGCCACUACUGACGCUGAGAAGCGAAAGCAUGGGGAGCGAACA